CUAAGAAGCAGAUGCACCCUCAGGAAAAGAAGAACUGGGCAGGUUUUGACUGGGAAUCAUCAAUCACAGAAGCUGCCUGAGAUUAACAAGGAGCCAGUUUUUCAAACAUCCUGCAGUAAACCCAGAGGAAAUCCAGCUGGAACUGCAACUCGAACACAGGCAACUGACUCUAAAAAUAUAUGCCAUCCACUGAAACUCACUGACUGACACACACAUGCUCUCAAGCUUACUGCAGUUACAGGAACACAGGAAUAAACUGGUGUGUGCAGUAGGAUUCAUGCAAACCCAUUCUACUUUGCAUUGGAAGGUGUAACACGUACUCAGUGCACUUCUUUUCAACCGAGUGCCCACUGUUUACCUGUCCUGAAGUAGAUGGACUGUGUUGACUUCUAGAAGGUGAAGGAAGAUAAGCUCCUUUCUCACUUUGAAGAGUAUGUGGGGCUAAUAAUCUUCUUCAUGAAAGGUCUGAAGCUGGAGAAGUAACUCAAAGACAGAACAGACUGAAGGAAUAAAAGGCUUCCCACAGCACUGUUGGCUGGUGAAGUGGGUUACAGGGUCUAUGCUGGAACAAUUUCUUAAAAGACAGCUGAGACAUGAAGUCCAGCACCAAAAUAAAGGAUU
Long non-coding RNA from Pipra filicauda (Wire-tailed manakin), 621 nucleotides. RefSeq lists it as uncharacterized. The record is from RefSeq and is a predicted model, not a curated record. NCBI's taxonomy places the organism in Eukaryota, Metazoa, Chordata, Aves, Passeriformes, Pipridae. The transcript is spliced from 4 exons.